CUUUGCUGGGUCUGCUUUACUUCCACUGAACUAAAGGCUCUGUUAUCAGCUACGUAUCCAGCCCUUAAACUCAAGUGCGUGAAUUGUUCAGCAAAAUCUCUUCAGACUCUGAAUGGGGGAAACCCUGCUCAAAACCUGGAACAAAACCAGACAAUGGUAUCACGAGGAAGCGAUGAAUACCCCAGAAGAAGUCCAAAAGCUGCUGCUCCGAUCCCUUUGGGAUCUUCUCUACAUGAGAUCUAGGUUAAUAUCAAAACAUAGGUACCUCACAUAAUGGGCCAGUUUGCAUCACACAUAAGGAAACUUAUUUGGUUUGAUUGUUGGACUAAAGCUCUGGAGGUCAGGGGUUGAAUUCCCAUUCAUCCAUGCAAACCUGCUGGCUGACUUUGGGUAAGUCACAUUCUUUUUAAUAUUUAAGUACCAACUAUGGCUCAGUCUGCAAAACAGAUUGAAACAUUCCUGCACAUAGUGUGUGUGUUAUAGAGAACAUACAGAAAUAGGGGGACUCUCUUAUCAAACAUGGCAGGUGAGUGAAUACAGGACCAUACAGCCUACAGUUUUGAGAACCUCUGUUCUAUAGCACAAGCAAUAACUGUAAAGCUCGAUGAUGAUGAUGAUGAUGAUGAUGAUGAUGAUGAUGAUGAUGCUUUCUCCUCUUUAUUCUCUUGGAAUUCUGACCAGACCUUCCCUCUCAGCUGUCAAAAGUCAUGAAUGCUCAUCUGGUUAUAACUCUAUUGAGAAUCACUUGUUUUCGGUCAGAAACUUUUGCUGUACAAAGUCAGGUAUGAUUAUUCAUAGGCUGCAAUUUUAUACAGGCUGGCACGGAGAGCUUCUAUUUCUUAAAUAAAAAUAAGCUAUAUGGGCAAAAUGGAUUCAAGAUUUUACAACAUAUGUUAUUUUUGUAAUCAAACUCUCCCACUCCAUAUCCAAAGUCACUUUCCCAAUAAUUGCUUAUUUAUGGAUACCAGUCUUCAUCCAUCAUGUAAGGAGAAUGGAUAUGCCACUUACAGUCAUUCAUAGACAAUCAUCCUUUUACUUCCCAGAAUAUGUCAUUUUAACAUUCACUGUUAACACUUUCUCCUAUCAACUCCACUGGGCCAUAAAUGAGAGAGGAAGGAGGAGAAAAUUAAAGAGAAAAGAACGGAUGGCUCUUUACUACCCAUGCUGAUGGAGUUAGCAGCACCACUUCCUUCUCUCCAGUACUGGAGGCCUGCUCAGCAUUGCAGACCAGCUGUGUAACCUUUUAAAUAGCUUUGGCUGUAAAACACAAGUCUGCAUUUGCCAUAACAAAAAAACUGCUUCAUUCCCAACAGUCAA
Sceloporus undulatus (fence lizard) is the source of this 1317-nucleotide long non-coding RNA. RefSeq lists it as uncharacterized. NCBI's taxonomy places the organism in Eukaryota, Metazoa, Chordata, Lepidosauria, Squamata, Phrynosomatidae. The transcript is spliced from 4 exons. The record is from RefSeq and is a predicted model, not a curated record.